This 80-nucleotide transfer RNA is filed under the name Corynebacterium ammoniagenes. RNAcentral describes it as "tRNA-Pro". The record is from RNAcentral. Lineage: Bacteria; Bacillati; Actinomycetota; Actinomycetes; Mycobacteriales; Corynebacteriaceae.
GAGAAGUGUUGGCGGAGCUUCGAGUCGCAGAGAGAUUUGGAAUCUCUAAAACCCCAGUGCGCGAGGCACUGCACCUGCUU